CCCUGGUAGUCCACGCUGUAAACGAUGUCGAUUUGGAGGUUGUUCCCUAGAGGAGUGGCUUCCGGAGCUAACGCGUUAAAUCGACCGCCUGGGGAGUACGGCCGCAAGGUUAAAACUCAAAUGAAUUGACGGGGGCCCGCACAAGCGGUGGAGCAUGUGGUUUAAUUCGAUGCAACGCGAAGAACCUUACCUACUCUUGACAUCCAGAGAAUUGAGCAGAGAUGGUGAAGUGCCUUCGGGAACUCUGAGACAGGUGCUGCAUGGCUGUCGUCAGCUCGUGUCUGUGAAAUGUUGGGUUAAGUCCCGCAACGAGCGCAACCCUUGAUCCUUAUGUUGCCAGCAGACUCGGUGUGGCACUCUAAUGAGA
RNAcentral lists this ribosomal RNA (367 nucleotides) under Providencia sp. RTE9. RNAcentral describes it as "bacterial SSU rRNA". It matches the Rfam family "Bacterial small subunit ribosomal RNA", at positions 785 to 1148 of the family's 1533-position model. The record is from RNAcentral. Lineage: Bacteria; Pseudomonadati; Pseudomonadota; Gammaproteobacteria; Enterobacterales; Morganellaceae.